GAGGUUGUAGCUCAGUCGGUAGAGCAACGGACUUUUAAUCCGUAGGUCUCGGGUUCGAGCCCCGACAGCCUCA
This 73-nucleotide transfer RNA is filed under the name Pirellulales bacterium. RNAcentral's name for it is "tRNA-Lys". It matches the Rfam family "tRNA". Rfam says of the family: Transfer RNA (tRNA) molecules are approximately 80 nucleotides in length. Their secondary structure includes four short double-helical elements and three loops (D, anti-codon, and T loops). Lineage: Bacteria; Pseudomonadati; Planctomycetota; Planctomycetia; Pirellulales. The record is from RNAcentral.